GACGAACGCUGGCGGCGUGGAUUAGGCAUGCAAGUCGAACGGUAGGAUACCUUCGGGUAUCUGAGAGUGGCGAACGGGUGAGUAACACGUAGGUGAUCUACCCUCAAGAUUGGGACAACCCAGGGAAACUUGGGCUAAUACCGGAUGAAAGCAGCAGUGAUGUUGUUUGAAAGGUGGCGUAAGCUGCCGUUUGGGGAUGAGCCUGCGCUCUAUUAGUUAGUUGGCGGGGUAAAGGCCCACCAAGGCGAUGAUAGAUAGGCGGCCUUAACGGGUGGUCGCCCACACUGGGAUUGAGAUACGGCCCAGACUCCUACGGGAGGCAGCAGUCGAGAAUAGUCUACAAUGGCCGAAAGGCUGAUAGUGCGACGCCGCGUGAACGAAGAAGCCCUUCGGGUGUAAAGUUCUUUUAUAUGUGAGCAGUGCUUUCUAUGUGAACAGCAUGGGGAGAGAGAUAUUAGCAUAUGAAUAAGCAAACGGCUAAACUCCGUGCCAGCAGCCC
This 499-nucleotide ribosomal RNA is filed under the name uncultured bacterium. RNAcentral's name for it is "bacterial SSU rRNA". It matches the Rfam family "Bacterial small subunit ribosomal RNA", at positions 28 to 517 of the family's 1533-position model. The record is from RNAcentral.